Molecule: ribosomal RNA, 529 nt
Filed under: Methylobacterium sp. B32
Lineage: Bacteria; Pseudomonadati; Pseudomonadota; Alphaproteobacteria; Hyphomicrobiales; Methylobacteriaceae
Description: bacterial SSU rRNA
Rfam family: Bacterial small subunit ribosomal RNA
Source: RNAcentral
CGAACNUGGNCGGCAGGCUUAACACAUGCAAGUCGAGCGGACCUUUCGGGGUCAGCGGCGGACGGGUGAGUAACGCGUGGGAACGUGCCUUCCGGUUCGGAAUAACCCUGGGAAACUAGGGCUAAUACCGGAUACGCCCUUAUGGGGAAAGGUUUACUGCCGGAAGAUCGGCCCGCGUCUGAUUAGCUAGUUGGUGGGGUAACGGCCUACCAAGGCGACGAUCAGUAGCUGGUCUGAGAGGAUGAUCAGCCACACUGGGACUGAGACACGGCCCAGACUCCUACGGGAGGCAGCAGUGGGGAAUAUUGGACAAUGGGCGCAAGCUGAUCCAGCCAUGCCGCGUGAGUGAUGAAGGCCUUAGGGUUGUAAAGCUCUUUUAUCCGGGACGAUAAUGACGGUACCGGAGGAAUAAGCCCCGGCUAACUUCGUGCCAGCAGCCGCGGUAAUACGAAGGGGGCUAGCGUUGCUCGGAAUCACUGGGCGUAAAGGGCGCGUAGGCGGCGUUUUAAGUCGGGGGUGAAAGCCUGUG